This 718-nucleotide ribosomal RNA is filed under the name Lembosia albersii. Its description in RNAcentral is "eukaryotic LSU rRNA". It matches the Rfam family "Eukaryotic large subunit ribosomal RNA", at positions 179 to 919 of the family's 3401-position model. Lineage: Eukaryota; Fungi; Ascomycota; Dothideomycetes; Asterinales; Asterinaceae. The record is from RNAcentral.
GCACAGGUUCCCUUGAACGGGACGCCGCAGAGGGUGAGAGCGCCAUCCGCGUCCGGGCGCAUUCGCCGCGAGAGGCUCCUUCGACGAGUGGAGUUAUUUGUGAGUGCAGCUCCAAGCGGGAGGUAUAUUCCUUUUAAAGCUAAACACCGGCCGGAGACCGAUAGCGCACAAGUAGAGUGAUUGAAAGAUGAAAAGCACUCUGGAAAGAGAGUGAAACAGUACGUGAAAUAGUUGAAAGGGAAGCGUUUGCCGCCAGACUGGACGGCGCCCGCUCGGCCGGCCCUCCGGGGCCGGCGCACUCGGGCGUCGCCGGGCCAGGGUCGGUUUGGGCGGCCGGACAAAGGCGCGGGGAACGUGGCUCCCUCGGGAGUGUUACAGCCCCGCGCGCAACGCGGCCAGCCCGGACCGAGGACCGCGUUCUGCCAGGACGCUGGCGUAAUGGCGGCCAACGGCCCGUCUUGAAACACGGACCAAGGAGUCUAGCACGCGUGCGAGUGUACGGGCGUCAGACCCGCACGCGCAAUGAAAGUGAACGGAGGUGGGAGCUCCCGCGCACCAUCGACCGAUCCCGAUGUUUUCGGAAGGAUUUGAGUAGGAGCGCGCGUGCUGGGACCCGAAAGAUGAUGAACUAUGCCUAGAUAGACUGAAGCCGCCCGAAAGGGCGGUGGAGGGUCGCAGCGGUUCUGACGUGCAAAUCGAUCGUCAAAUCUGGGUCAUA